GGGGGCUUAGCUCAGUUGGUAGAGCAGCUGACUUUUAAUCAGUUGGUCAUAGGUUCGAAUCCUAUAGCCCCCACCA
Molecule: transfer RNA, 76 nt
Filed under: Alphaproteobacteria bacterium
Lineage: Bacteria; Pseudomonadati; Pseudomonadota; Alphaproteobacteria
Description: tRNA-Lys
Rfam family: tRNA
About the family: Transfer RNA (tRNA) molecules are approximately 80 nucleotides in length. Their secondary structure includes four short double-helical elements and three loops (D, anti-codon, and T loops).
Source: RNAcentral